This 469-nucleotide ribosomal RNA is filed under the name uncultured bacterium. RNAcentral's name for it is "partial 16S ribosomal RNA". It matches the Rfam family "Bacterial small subunit ribosomal RNA", at positions 28 to 507 of the family's 1533-position model. The record is from RNAcentral.
GACGAACGCUGGCGGCGUGCUUAACACAUGCAAGUCGAACGGAAAGGCCCUGCUUGCAGGGUGCUCGAGUGGCGAACGGGUGAGUAACACGUGGGUGAUCUGCCCCUUACUUUGGGAUAAGCCUGGGAAACUGGGUCUAAUACUGGAUAGGACCAUGCUGUAGGUGGUGUGGUGGAAAGAUUAGUUUCGGUAAGGGAUGAGCUCGCGGCCUAUCAGCUUGUUGGUGGGGUAAUGGCCUACCAAGGCGUCGACGGGUAGCCGGCCUGAGAGGGUGGACGGCCACAUUGGGACUGAGAGACGGCCCAGACGCCUACGGGAGGCAGCAGUGGGGAAUAGUGCAAAAUGGGCGCAAGCCGGAUGCAGCGAAGCCGCGGGGGGGAUGACGGCCUUCGGGUUGUAAACUCCUUUCAGCCAUGACGAAGCCCUUGUGGUGACGGUAGUGGUAGAAGAAGCCCCGGCUAACUACGUG